GGGCUCACUUCAGCAACACACACACUAAAAUUGGAACUAUACAGAGAAGAUUAGCAUGGUCCCUGUGCAAGGAUGUCAUGAAAAUUUUUGAAGCAUUACUUAUUUUU
Meriones unguiculatus (Mongolian gerbil) is the source of this 107-nucleotide small nuclear RNA. The record is from Ensembl. NCBI's taxonomy places the organism in Eukaryota, Metazoa, Chordata, Mammalia, Rodentia, Muridae.